CCUACGGGGGACAGCAGUGAGGAAUAUUGGUCAAUGGGCGGGAGCCUGAACCAGCCAAGUCGCGUGAGGGAAGACGGUCCUGCGUAUCGUAAACCUCUUUUGUCAGGGAGCAAAGGCGGGGACUAGUCCCCGGAUGAGGGUACCUGAAGGAAAAGCAUCGGCUAACCCCGUGCCCGCAGCCGCCGUAAUAAGGAGGAUGCGAGCGUUUUACGGAUUUAUUGGGUUUUAAGGGUGCGCAGGCGGCAGGUUAAGUCAGCGGUAAAAGGCCGGGGCCCAACCCCGGCGUGCCGUUGAAACUGGCGGGCUUGAGUGGGAGAGAAGUACGCGGAAUGCGUGGUGUAGCGGUGAAAUGCUUAGAUAUCGCGCAGAACCCCGAUUGCGAAGGCAGCUUAC
Molecule: ribosomal RNA, 393 nt
Filed under: uncultured bacterium
Lineage: Bacteria
Description: partial 16S ribosomal RNA
Rfam family: Bacterial small subunit ribosomal RNA
Source: RNAcentral